UCUCUGUGCAUAUUGUUGUGUGUUUGUUUAUUCUACAUGAGCUAGAUAUAAUUGUAUAGCGGGAGGGUUGAGAUCUAACAAAGCAUGUUUAGCCCCGCCGUAUUUUUGCGCCUGUCCCAAGACAGUAGACUCUGAUCUUUGUUAGUUUUUUUAUUGUUUUUUUUGUCUAAGUUAAGUGUGACGUCCAUUUUCACAUUACUAGUAUAUAUUUUUAUUUAGAGACCAGCUGAAGCCCGGAUUUUUUCGUUGUGUUGAAGACUCAUUGGUGGCCUUCGGCUUUGCUCUUUGGUUAGGCUGACUGUCUGUUGUUUCUUUGACACAUUUUUUAUUUCCAUUCUCAAUUUUAUUGAUUGAUCAAUUGAUUGAUUGAUUGAUUCAUUGAUUCAUUCAUUGAUCAUUU
Molecule: long non-coding RNA, 400 nt
Filed under: Mytilus galloprovincialis (Mediterranean mussel)
Lineage: Eukaryota; Metazoa; Mollusca; Bivalvia; Mytilida; Mytilidae
Source: RNAcentral